CUUCACCGAGCCCAGCAGCAGCGGCAGGCCGGCGGGCCGGUCCUGGCCGUAGGUGGCCAGCAGCGCCUGGGCCUC
RNAcentral lists this antisense RNA (75 nucleotides) under Kutzneria viridogrisea DSM 43870. RNAcentral's name for it is "Kutzneria albida DSM 43870 ASpks TB sRNA". It matches the Rfam family "ASpks TB sRNA". The record is from Rfam by way of RNAcentral. Lineage: Bacteria; Bacillati; Actinomycetota; Actinomycetes; Pseudonocardiales; Pseudonocardiaceae.